This 492-nucleotide ribosomal RNA is filed under the name uncultured bacterium. Its description in RNAcentral is "partial 16S ribosomal RNA". It matches the Rfam family "Bacterial small subunit ribosomal RNA", at positions 29 to 507 of the family's 1533-position model. The record is from RNAcentral.
AGUGAACGCUGGCGGUAGGCCUAACACAUGCAAGUCGAACGGCAGCACAGUAAGAGCUUGCUCUUACGGGUGGCGAGUGGCGGACGGGUGAGGAAUACAUCGGAAUCUACUUUUUCGUGGGGGAUAACGUAGGGAAACUUACGCUAAUACCGCAUACGACCUACGGGUGAAAGCAGGGGAUCUUCGGACCUUGCGUGAUUGAAUGAGCCGACGGCGGAUUAGAUAGUUGGCGGGGUAAAGGCCCACCAAGGCGACGAUCCGUACCUGGUCUGGGAGGAUUAUCAGCCACACUGUAUCUGAGAGACGGUCCAGACUCCUACGGGAGGGAGCAGUGGGGAAUAUUGGACAAUGGGCGCAAACCUGAUCCAGCCAUACCGCGUGGGUGAAGAAGGCCUUCGGGUUGUAAAGCCCUUUUGUUGGGAAAGAAAAGCAGCAGGUUAAUACCCCGCUGUUCUGACGGUACCCAAAGAAUAAGCUCCGGCUAACUUCGUG